Molecule: long non-coding RNA, 728 nt
Organism: Gavialis gangeticus (Gharial)
Lineage: Eukaryota; Metazoa; Chordata; Crocodylia; Gavialidae
Exons: 2
Source: RefSeq, a predicted model, not a curated record
GAUUGUAAUUUAGCUUAAACAUCUCAAAAUUCAAGGAACCCAGAAGAAACCUGGCACUUCACUAAAAUUAUUUACCAUUAUGUAUUUUAUACCUUAUUGCCUUCAGUUUGGUGAAUAACUAUUAAUAUUCCCCAGUGGUUAAAGAAGUAGUUUAGUGAAUCUUUUACUAUUUUGUUUCUCAGAAGCAUGACUAGAAUAAUUUGGCUUAGCAAAGAUUUCACAAGACAAGAUGAAUAUCUUCCAAGGGCAAAAUUGCAAAGCAGCAUAGUUGCUAAGCUUAACUGGUGGCAUACAGACAUUCAUUUUUACCAGAAGAAAUAUCUCCCUGGGUACCAGAGGGCUGCUCCCACUGUUAGUUUACAGUGUGCCCUCUCCCCUGCCUGGGAAGGGGGAAGGCUGUCCAAUUGCAAAUGGCACCUGCUGAAAAGAAGCAGGUACCACAGACAGCUAGGGAGGGUUCCCACCCUGGGGGAAUGCAUCCUCAUCCUGCCAAUCAGCUGAUUGGUAGGAGGGGGCAUUUUCCUAGGGUGGGAAUCCUCCCAGUUCUCUGCAUAAGAAUAACCCCACUCCUUGCACUCCUUCAGGUGAACCUGGGGGACAGCAGGGAGAGGAAGAAAUGCUCAGUUGCUCUGGUAUCUCUUAUGCCUAAGAAAUUCUAGCUGAAAAAACCACACACCUGAACCUUUAAAAAUAUCUUAGCACAACAAAAUGAAAACACAAAAUGAAAU